This 73-nucleotide transfer RNA is filed under the name Plantactinospora endophytica. RNAcentral describes it as "tRNA-Leu". Lineage: Bacteria; Bacillati; Actinomycetota; Actinomycetes; Micromonosporales; Micromonosporaceae. The record is from RNAcentral.
GUUGACGUAGUCGACGGUGAGCCCGCCGGUCAGGUCGGCGGUGAGCGCGUCGGCCCGGAUCCAGCCGUUGGCG